Molecule: ribosomal RNA, 326 nt
Filed under: uncultured Chlorobiota bacterium
Lineage: Bacteria; Pseudomonadati; Chlorobiota
Description: bacterial SSU rRNA
Rfam family: Bacterial small subunit ribosomal RNA
Source: RNAcentral
GACGAACGCUGGCGGCGUGCUUAAUACAUGCAAGUCAACGACUUUUGGGGUAGCAAUAUUUCAAGGGGAGUGGCGCACGGGUGAGUAACACGUAGGUAAUCUACCUUCAGGACUGACACAACUCGUCGAAAGACGGGCUAAUAUCAGAUAAAACAGCAGCUUGGCAUCAAGAUUGCUGUUAAAGUACAAGCGCCUGAAGAUGAGCCUGCGGUCCAUUAGGUAGUUGGUAGAGUAAAAGCCUACCAAGCCAACGAUGGGUAGCUGGUCUGAGAGGAUGAUCAGCCACACUGGAACUGAGACACGGUCCAGACACCUACGGGAGGCAG